UACGUAGGGUGCGAGCGUUGUCCGGAAUUACUGGGCGUAAAGAGUUCGUAGGCGGUUUGUCGCGUCGUCUGUGAAAACCCAUCGCUCAACGAUGGGCCGGCAGGCGAUACGGGCAGACUUGAGUACUGCAGGGGAGACUGGAAUUCCUGGUGUAGCGGUGAAAUGCGCAGAUAUCAGGAGGAACACCGGUGGCGAAGGCGGGUCUCUGGACAGUUCCUGACGCUGAGGCACGAAGGCCAGGGGAGCAAACGGG
Molecule: ribosomal RNA, 253 nt
Filed under: uncultured bacterium
Lineage: Bacteria
Description: partial 16S ribosomal RNA
Rfam family: Bacterial small subunit ribosomal RNA
Source: RNAcentral